GACGAACGCUGGCGGCGUGCUUAACACAUGCAAGUCGAACGGAAAGGCCCUGCUUGCAGGGUACUCGAGUGGCGAACGGGUGAGUAACACGUGGGUGAUCUGCCCUGCACUUCGGGAUAAGCCUGGGAAACUGGGUCUAAUACCGGAUAGGAGCCAUUUUUAGUGUGAUGGUUGGAAAGUUUUUUCGGUGUAGGAUGAGCUCGCGGCCUAUCAGCUUGAUGGUGGGGUAAUGGCCUACCAAGGCGGCGACGGGUAGCCGGCCUGAGAGGGUGGACGGCCACAUUGGGACUGAGAUACGGCCCAGACUCCUACGGGAGGCAGCAGUGGGGAAUAUUGCACAAUGGGCGCAAGCCUGAUGCAGCGACGCCGCGUGGGGGAUGACGGCCUUCGGGUUGUAAACUCCUUUCGCUAGGGACGAAGCUUUUUGUGACGGUACCUAGAUAAGAAGCACCGGCUAACUACGUG
Molecule: ribosomal RNA, 465 nt
Filed under: uncultured bacterium
Lineage: Bacteria
Description: partial 16S ribosomal RNA
Rfam family: Bacterial small subunit ribosomal RNA
Source: RNAcentral